Molecule: ribosomal RNA, 115 nt
Filed under: Pseudomonadota bacterium
Lineage: Bacteria; Pseudomonadati; Pseudomonadota
Also listed under: 1 other name
Source: RNAcentral
UUUGGCGGUAAUAGUGUUUAGGUACCACCUGACUCCAUUCCGAACUCAGAAGUGAAACUGAAUAACGCCGAUGAUAGUGUGGCAUUCGCCAUGUGAAAGUAGGACACCGCCAAAU